AUACCCCUGCCAGGUUCUAACUACGUGUCCGCUCUUUUAAAACCCACAUUUUUGAAACGGGACGCCCCCUCGCGCUGCGGUUCGCAGGCCUCCCGGCCCUCCUCGGAGGUGUCUGGACGUUGGAAGCGGUAAAGCUGCGCGGAGGCGACCCACCUGCAUCUUCGUGCAGGUUUUUAACGGGGCGGCACGGCCAUGGCGGGGGUUUU
Molecule: non-coding RNA, 206 nt
Filed under: Oscillospiraceae bacterium
Lineage: Bacteria; Bacillati; Bacillota; Clostridia; Eubacteriales; Oscillospiraceae
Description: 6S RNA
Rfam family: 6S / SsrS RNA
About the family: E. coli 6S RNA was the first non coding RNA to be sequenced, but its function was unknown until recently. It consists of 184 nucleotides that fold into an extended hairpin structure with a large single-stranded internal bulge. The 6S RNA specifically associates with RNA polymerase holoenzyme containing the sigma70 specificity factor.
Source: RNAcentral